UACGGAGGAUCCAAGCGUUAUCCGGAAUCAUUGGGUUUAAAGGGUGCGUAGGCGGGUAUGUAAGUCAGUGGUGAAAUCCUGGAGCUUAACUCCAGAACUGCCAUUGAUACUAUAUAUCUUGAAUAUUGUGGAGGUUUGCGGAAUAUGUCAUGUAGCGGUGAAAUGCUUAGAUAUGACAUAGAACACCUAUUGCGAAGGCAGCAGGCUACACAUAUAUUGACGCUGAGGCACGAAAGCGUGGGGAUCAAACAGG
This 253-nucleotide ribosomal RNA is filed under the name uncultured bacterium. RNAcentral describes it as "partial 16S ribosomal RNA". It matches the Rfam family "Bacterial small subunit ribosomal RNA", at positions 524 to 776 of the family's 1533-position model. The record is from RNAcentral.